This 90-nucleotide transfer RNA is filed under the name Pseudomonadota bacterium. RNAcentral's name for it is "Proteobacteria bacterium tRNA-Ser". Lineage: Bacteria; Pseudomonadati; Pseudomonadota. The record is from RNAcentral.
GGGCAAUUCAGCCGGGCGCCCGGGCAGCAGUCAUAAUCUGUUUCCUUCACACGGCAGGGGUCGCUGGUUCGAACCCAGCAUCGCCCACCA